Long non-coding RNA from Scylla paramamosain (green mud crab), 740 nucleotides. RefSeq lists it as uncharacterized. The record is from RefSeq and is a predicted model, not a curated record. The transcript is spliced from 3 exons. Lineage: Eukaryota; Metazoa; Arthropoda; Malacostraca; Decapoda; Portunidae.
GGGCUAAUCUGCUGUGUACUCGCUAUAGAUAAACAUUUAUUGCCGUGGUCUCUGGUGUGCUGUCUCCACCUUAUCUACUGAAGAAGGAUGAACAUGGUAGCAAUGCAUGGUUCAACAAGGGCAUGAGGAAGGAGACCGGAUUUCCUUCAAGAAUGUCAACAUCUGAAGAAAUACUGAAAUAGCACUUGUAGUUGAUGAAGGUUGUUGUGAGAAUAUCAUGUACAUCAAAAGGAAGCAACAUUUCAACUUGGUCUUCAUUAAAUUUAUCACUAAGCUGCCUCAUUAUCAACUAAGAUGCAGACUGAGUGACAUAAGAGGGAAGGAGGUGGAUUGUGUUUCAGCAGUCAAGAAGCAACACAUGUAUUCUUAGAAUUCUUCCAACAUUGUUAUUUAAACAAUGUUGUUUAAAUAACAUUAGUUAUUUAAACAAGUUAUUAGUUAUUUAAACAAUGUUGUUUAAAAUCAUUAGGUAUUGCUAUAUAAUACUACUACAAAAGACAAUUUUUAUUUACAUUUUUUUUUUUUUUUGUUUAUAAUGUGAAUAUACGUCAAAUGAAGGCUUACCAACUGAACUGUACCAGAUUUACCUGAUGUUCUGAUUUGAAUGGUGCAUAGUAUAGUAAUGUCUAAUAAUACAGAUUUAAAUUAGAGGAUUUACUGUAUUCACGCUUCUCUUAUAGUCUUGAAGUCACAGGAGUUCGUAAGUUAGAAGAGGAUUUGACAAAAAAAUUUAUUUUGUG